Molecule: ribosomal RNA, 253 nt
Filed under: uncultured bacterium
Lineage: Bacteria
Description: partial 16S ribosomal RNA
Rfam family: Bacterial small subunit ribosomal RNA
Source: RNAcentral
UACAGAGGGGGCAAGCGUUGUUCGGAAUUACUGGGCGUAAAGGGCGCGUAGGCGGCCUUCUAAGUCGAACGUGAAAUCCCCGGGCUCAACCCGGGAACUGCGUCCGAUACUGGAAGGCUUGAAUCCGGGAGAGGGAUGCGGAAUUCCAGGUGUAGCGGUGAAAUGCGUAGAUAUCAAGCGGAACACCGGUGGCGAAGGCGGCCUUCUGGACGAUGACUGACGCUGAGACGCGAAAGCGUGGGGAGCAAACAGG